Tachyglossus aculeatus (Australian echidna) is the source of this 138-nucleotide small nucleolar RNA. The record is from RefSeq and is a predicted model, not a curated record. NCBI's taxonomy places the organism in Eukaryota, Metazoa, Chordata, Mammalia, Monotremata, Tachyglossidae.
CUCCUCUGAGGGUUGCACCUGGAGAGUUCCCAGUACUCUUCCAGUCCUGAGUAAGAGAGGGAGAGUCAAGCAGAGGCAUAUCCAUUCCAUUCCUAGUUUGGGCAGUGGCUAGUAUGUGGAAGGCAAUCUGCUACAAGU